CAGAGGGGGCAAGCGUUGUUCGGAAUUACUGGGCGUAAAGGGCGCGUAGGCGGCCUGCUAAGUCGAACGUGAAAUCCCCGGGCUCAACCCGGGAACUGCGUCCGAUACUGGUUGGCUUGAAUCCGGGAGAGGGAUGUGGAAUUCCAGGUGUAGCGGUGAAAUGCGUAGAUAUCUGGAGGAACACCGGUGGCGAAGGCGGCAUCCUGGACCGGCAUUGACGCUGAGGCGCGAAAGCCAGGGGAGCAAACGGGAUUAGAUACCCCGGUAGUCCUGGCCCUAAACGAUGAAUGCUUGGUGUGGCGGGUAUCGAUCCCUGCCGUGCCGAAGCUAACGCAUUAAGCAUUCCGCCUGGGGAGUACGGUCGCAAGGCUG
RNAcentral lists this ribosomal RNA (372 nucleotides) under uncultured organism. RNAcentral's name for it is "bacterial SSU rRNA". It matches the Rfam family "Bacterial small subunit ribosomal RNA", at positions 526 to 896 of the family's 1533-position model. The record is from RNAcentral.